RNAcentral lists this small nuclear RNA (106 nucleotides) under Mesocricetus auratus (golden hamster). The record is from RNAcentral. Lineage: Eukaryota; Metazoa; Chordata; Mammalia; Rodentia; Cricetidae.
GUGCUCGCACCCUCUAACAGCACAGAUACUAAAACUGGAACUGUACAGAGAUUAGCAAGGCCCCCGUGCCACGCUGACACAAACGCACCAAGUGUUCCGCAUUAAC